ACCUUGGAGGACUAGUGGUUAGGCCUCAGUGCAGUCAACACUGUGGCCUGGGUUUGAUUCAUGGCCAGGGAA
This 72-nucleotide transfer RNA is filed under the name Pangasianodon hypophthalmus (striped catfish). RNAcentral's name for it is "tRNA-Asp". Lineage: Eukaryota; Metazoa; Chordata; Actinopteri; Siluriformes; Pangasiidae. The record is from RNAcentral.